GGCUCAGAGUAACUCCGUUAUAAGGCGGGCUUUUUUCGGAAAGCCCCGGUGGCCGAAAGGGAAGAAGGUUAAAAUUCCUUCACCUGGACGUGGAUAACGAGUGGUAACACAAGCAAAACUGGAGACGUCGGCUGGAGUCCCGGGAAGAGUUCUCUUUUCUUGUUAACAGUUCCGCAGGCCCUGGAAUCGGAUUAUCCGG
RNAcentral lists this ribosomal RNA (199 nucleotides) under Aplanochytrium stocchinoi. RNAcentral's name for it is "partial Eukaryotic large subunit ribosomal RNA". It matches the Rfam family "Eukaryotic large subunit ribosomal RNA", at positions 1549 to 1738 of the family's 3401-position model. The record is from RNAcentral. Lineage: Eukaryota; Bigyra; Thraustochytrida; Thraustochytriidae.